AUGAAUGUGUUCUGCUGGAACUAUCGUGGCGCGGGUAAACCUGCGACAGUUCGAGAAAUUCGCGAAUUCGCGAUGAAGUUUACCCCUACCGUGCUCUGUAUUCUCGAGACUCGGAUAAGUGGGGCGCGUGUAGAAGCACUAGCGAGUACUCUAGGUUAUGAUCAAUCUUAUGCUAUUGACAGUCAGGGAAGAAGUGGUGGUAUUGGCAUGUUUUGGAAUAAUACAAUUAAGCUUGAGAUUUUGGGUGACUCCUCCUAUCAUAUUGAUGCUAAAGUUGAGGAACCAGUCCAAGAACUGAAGGAAAUAUGCCCUAGAGGCAAUAAUAAAGUUAUUAUUUAUUUCCUUAUAUCAUGGUAA
Molecule: ribosomal RNA, 357 nt
Filed under: Triticum aestivum (bread wheat)
Lineage: Eukaryota; Viridiplantae; Streptophyta; Magnoliopsida; Poales; Poaceae
Description: partial small subunit ribosomal RNA
Source: RNAcentral